Molecule: ribosomal RNA, 271 nt
Filed under: uncultured Peredibacter sp.
Lineage: Bacteria; Pseudomonadati; Bdellovibrionota; Bacteriovoracia; Bacteriovoracales; Bacteriovoracaceae
Description: partial 16S ribosomal RNA
Rfam family: Bacterial small subunit ribosomal RNA
Source: RNAcentral
UGAAACCUCGGGGCUCAACCCCGAAACUGCGUCUGAAACUGCUAGUCUAGAAUAUUGGAGGGGGCAGGGGAAUUUCACGUGUAGGGGUAAAAUCCGUAGAGAUGUGAAGGAACACCGGAGGCGAAGGCGCCUGCCUGGACAAUACUUGACGCUGAGGCGCGAAAGCGUGGGGAGCAAACAGGAUUAGAUACCCUGGUAGCCCACGCCGUAAACGAUGAACACCAGUUAUUGGGGGUAUUGACUCCCUCAGUGACGCAGCUAACGCAUUAAG